AAGAAGUAUUUUCAUAAGAAAUUAGCGAGCACAUACACAUACAUACAGUGCAGACAGUUGAAGUUGAAGAACAACACAUGAUAUAGAAAAAGCUAAAUUUAUUCAUUAUUCAUAGUAGAAAAAACCAUGUGGAGCUCUACUUAUUUAUUACAAUGUCGGACACGUUAAUUCGAAGCUCACUGUGAGCUCUCUCACAUGUAUCUUACUAGAAAUUUAUUCAGUAGAGACUGCCCAAAAUUGAAGAUAAUGAACCCUUUCUUCCCUUAUGCCCUUCCUCCCUCUGCUGUUGCUCAGGCUGUGCAUCCACAAAGUGGGAUUCACUCUGCUUCUUUAUCAACUUCUCAACCUUGUUACCAGACGCAGGGAAGCUAACAUCCAAAACCUCUGUAGGUAUCUCGCUCAUCACAUUGUCUUUCUCACCUUCAAAUUUUCAAUCACGUUUUAUCAAUUGUAAAUAAACAACCCCAUCACCCAAACAAGUUUCAUGUGCCAUAAAACAAACAAGACCACUAUAUUCAAAUCGAGGGAGAUACAUAAUAUAUAUACCUGCAAGGAAAUUCCUCUGGUUGUUCUCAGCAUUGAUACCGAAAGCAAAGAAAUUUAGAUUGGAGGUUGCGUUGAUGGCAACUGGAUAAGCUGCUGGGAUUACAAAUACAUCGUCUUCAGACAACUCAGCUCUAUAUCUCUGCACUUCCAAGCUUUCGUCUUGCUGCUGCUGAUCGCUUGGGCCAACAAGUUCAAUCUUUGCUUCUCCUUCAUUAAUCACCAGUAUCACUAUGGCCUUAGAGUUGUAGUGUGGCAAAAGAAGGCCUCCCUGAAUUUUUUUAAGAAAGAAACCAUUAUUAAUUAGGGUUUCAGUACUAAGAUUUCCUAAUUAGGACGACAGUGAAUAGUAGAACUCAAUUGCUGAGUUUGUCCAUGUGGUUUUCCUUUGUAUUACCUCUUUCAUAUCCACAGAACUGAUGAACACGUCCAAGUCCUUAAGUUGGGGGUUUUUCUCCGGGGUGAUCUCAUACCACCUUCCAAAUUUGUUGGAGUAGAUGGGAUUGCUGUUUCUCAGGUUGAAUGGUUCAUCUUGGGAGGAGAGUUCUUUCCUUGAACUAGAUUUGGCAUGUUUGAUCAAUUCCCGAAUCUGUUCCCUUUUAAGUUCUACAAUCACUCCCUCUUCCUGACUCUCUUCCCCAUGCUGCUGUUGUCUCUCUUCUCCAAAUAGAACCCUGUCUAUCUCCUUGAAGUCGCUCUAUAAAAAUCAUGCAAAUAUAGAUAAUGAUAUCAUUCAACAAAUGUGAAAUUUAGACAAAUUACUAGCUAAAUGGCAAGGCAAAUAUGCGGUUAAUUAGAUGUUGUGUUCUUCUUACAUCGAAGGAGGCCUCUAGAAUAUUCUUGCUGAAGCCUCUCAAGUAGGAUUGCUGGGCUUCUGUGCUAGAUAGGAAAAAGUUCUACANGANAAGAAUUUUUAACGUCAAAUUUAGAGAGAAAUUGAAAGUUAGAAUAAAAANNAGUUAGUUGGGAAUCAGAAAAAGGCGGUAC
This 1530-nucleotide long non-coding RNA is filed under the name Vigna radiata. Its description in RNAcentral is "long non-coding RNA (VRAD_LNC010035)". Lineage: Eukaryota; Viridiplantae; Streptophyta; Magnoliopsida; Fabales; Fabaceae. The record is from RNAcentral.